Molecule: ribosomal RNA, 253 nt
Filed under: uncultured bacterium
Lineage: Bacteria
Description: partial 16S ribosomal RNA
Rfam family: Archaeal small subunit ribosomal RNA
Source: RNAcentral
UACCAGCACCCCGAGUGGUCGGUACGAUUAUUGGGCCUAAAGCGUCCGUAGCCGGUUCUUCAAGUCUUCCGUUAAAUCCAGCCGCUCAACGGAUGGGCUGCGGAAGAUACUAAAGGACUAGGAGUCGGGAGAGGCAAGCGGUACUCAGUGGGUAGGGGUAAAAUCCUUUGAUCCAUUGAAGACCACCAGUGGCGAAGGCGGCUUGCCAGAACGCGCUCGACGGUGAGGGAUGAAAGCUGGGGGAGCAAACCGG